Molecule: microRNA precursor, 135 nt
Filed under: Setaria italica (foxtail millet)
Lineage: Eukaryota; Viridiplantae; Streptophyta; Magnoliopsida; Poales; Poaceae
Also listed under: 1 other name
Description: mir-393 microRNA precursor family
Rfam family: mir-393 microRNA precursor family
Source: Rfam by way of RNAcentral
CGUGGAGGACUCCAAAGGGAUCGCAUUGAUCUCACCUUCCGCCGCAGCCGCUCGCCGGCAUGCAAGCACGUGCAUGUGGCUAGGCCUAGCUGCGCGCGAGGACAGGAUCAGUGCAAUCCCUUUGGAAUUUUCCAC